UGAGGAAUUUUGCGCAAUGGGCGAAAGCCUGACGCAGCGACGCCGCGUGAAGGAAGAAGCACUUCGGUGUGUAAACUUCUUUUAUGUGGGAAAAUUAUGAUUGUACCACACGAAUAAGGGCCUGCUAAACUCGUGCCAGCAGCAGCGGUAAGACGAGUGGCCCAAGCGUUAUCCGGAUUUACUGGGCGUAAAGCGCCGGUAGGUGGUUUGUUAAGUCCGAUGUGAAAUCUCCCCGCUCAACGGGGUAGUGGUCGUUGGAUACUGGCAGACUCGAGUCCAACAGGGGCACGUGGAACAUACGGUGUAGCAGUGAAAUGCGUUGAUAUCGUAUGGAACACCAAUGGCGAAGGCAGCGUGCUAGGUUGGUACUGACACUGAGCGGCGAAAGCGUGGGGAGCGAAAGGG
RNAcentral lists this ribosomal RNA (405 nucleotides) under uncultured bacterium. Its description in RNAcentral is "bacterial SSU rRNA". It matches the Rfam family "Bacterial small subunit ribosomal RNA", at positions 355 to 776 of the family's 1533-position model. The record is from RNAcentral.